Rana temporaria (common frog) is the source of this 393-nucleotide long non-coding RNA. RefSeq lists it as uncharacterized. The transcript is spliced from 3 exons. The record is from RefSeq and is a predicted model, not a curated record. Lineage: Eukaryota; Metazoa; Chordata; Amphibia; Anura; Ranidae.
CUCUUACCGUAAAGAAACCUCUACGCAGUUUAAGGUUAAACCUCUUUUCUUCUAAUUCUAGUGAAUGGCCACAUGUCUUUUUAAUUUCUCUUGACAAAGGCUGGUGUAGCCAUUGUAUUCAUUGCUGGUAAAUCAAGAUGGACCCAUGGUGUAUCCUCCUAAUAAAUAUUAUACCUCUCUAUGGUACUCCCAAUUGAUCCACUUUAUCCAUCCGUAUUGUGAUAUAUAUCCAUCCACUGAAUACACAGUGAUCAUAUAUAUUGUGCCUGAUAUCAAAGUUCUCCUGAAGAAGCCACCAAAUGGUCGAAGCAUGUAGAGACUAAUCAGAUGUGCACCUUUGUUUGUAUAUUUCUAUGAUCCAAUAAUUGAAUGUUAUCUCAUGUAUUCACUCUA